UACGUAGGCGGAAAAUUAAGUCAGUAGUGAAAUCCUGCAGCUUAACUGUAGAACUGUUAUUGAUACUGGUUUUCUUGAAUAUAGUUGAGGUAGGCGGAAUGUGUAAUGUAGCGGUGAAAUGCUUAGAUAUUACACAGAACACCGAUUGCGAAGGCAGCUUACUAAGCUAUGAUUGACGCUGAGGUACGAAAGCGUGGGGAGCGAACAGGAUUAAAUACCCUGGUAGUCC
Molecule: ribosomal RNA, 229 nt
Filed under: uncultured bacterium
Lineage: Bacteria
Description: partial 16S ribosomal RNA
Rfam family: Bacterial small subunit ribosomal RNA
Source: RNAcentral